GGCUGGUCCAAAUGCAGUGAUGUUUACAACUAAUUGAUCAAACAAGUUACAGAUUCCUUUGUUCCUUCUCCAUUCCCACUGCUUCACUUGACCAGCCUAAA
Molecule: Y RNA, 101 nt
Filed under: Prolemur simus (greater bamboo lemur)
Lineage: Eukaryota; Metazoa; Chordata; Mammalia; Primates; Lemuridae
Description: Y RNA (ENSPSMG00000023736.1)
Rfam family: Y RNA
About the family: Y RNAs are components of the Ro ribonucleoprotein particle (Ro RNP), in association with Ro60 and La proteins. The Y RNAs and Ro60 and La proteins are well conserved, but the function of the Ro RNP is not known. In humans the RNA component can be one of four small RNAs -- hY1, hY3, hY4 and hY5.
Source: Rfam by way of RNAcentral